This 314-nucleotide ribosomal RNA is filed under the name uncultured eukaryote. RNAcentral's name for it is "partial 18S ribosomal RNA". It matches the Rfam family "Eukaryotic small subunit ribosomal RNA", at positions 1470 to 1796 of the family's 1831-position model. The record is from RNAcentral.
CCCCUAGAUGUUCUGGGCCGCACGCGCGCUACACUGAACAGUUCAACAAGUCUUAACCUUGGCCGAUAGGUCUGGGUAAUCUUUGAACGCUGUUCGUGAUUGGGAUAGACUUUUGCAAUUUUUGGUCUUCAACGAGGAAUUCCUAGUAAACGCAAGUCAUCAACUUGCAUUGAUUACGUCCCUGCCCUUUGUACACACCGCCCGUCGCACCUACCGAUUGAAUGGUCCGGUGAAGCCUCCGGAUUGGCGCGCACCCCGGUGCCGCCGAGAAGUUGGCUAAACCUUACCAUUUAGAGGAAGGUGAAGUCGUAACA